CCUCGAAAAAGGCACACUUAUUGAAAGGUGAGGUCGCAAAGCUCUAAAUCUAAGGUAUGGUAUUUGACUAUUAAUAAUAUCAUGCUAUGAUCGUUAAGCUACCGAA
Molecule: non-coding RNA, 106 nt
Filed under: Selenihalanaerobacter shriftii
Lineage: Bacteria; Bacillati; Bacillota; Clostridia; Halanaerobiales; Halobacteroidaceae
Description: c-di-GMP sequence
Rfam family: c-di-GMP-I riboswitch aptamer
About the family: GEMM was predicted in a large-scale screen for bacterial structured RNA regulatory elements. Genes associated with GEMM are involved in a diverse array of functions, including chemotaxis regulation, signal transduction, secretion and chitin.
Source: Rfam by way of RNAcentral